Erinaceus europaeus (western European hedgehog) is the source of this 298-nucleotide long non-coding RNA. RefSeq lists it as uncharacterized. Lineage: Eukaryota; Metazoa; Chordata; Mammalia; Eulipotyphla; Erinaceidae. The transcript is spliced from 2 exons. The record is from RefSeq and is a predicted model, not a curated record.
UGGACUUUGAAGAUAAUAUGUUGAGUGAAAUAAGCCAGACAAAGAAGGAUGAGUACCAGGUGAUUUUAUUCAUAUGUACAAAUUAAGAAAUAAGGACAGUAGAGGAAAUCAUAAGGUGAUACUUGGACUGAGUAUGGUGUAUUGAACCACAGUAAAUGAACAUGACAAGCUAAAACAUUCUGGCAUGAAAUUUCAAGCAAGAAAACAAAACAGCUAUUAAAAACUUUAUUGGGACAACUAACCAAAAUGUACUAUAGUGUAGGUAAAAAUAAUGGAAUGAAACUAGAGUCUUAUUUUA